This 241-nucleotide ribosomal RNA is filed under the name uncultured bacterium. RNAcentral's name for it is "partial 16S ribosomal RNA". It matches the Rfam family "Bacterial small subunit ribosomal RNA", at positions 15 to 245 of the family's 1533-position model. The record is from RNAcentral.
GAUCCUGGCUCGGGAUGAACGCUAGCGACAGGCUUAACACAUGCAAGUCGAGGGGCAGCGGGGUGUAGCAAUACACCGCCGGCGACCGGCGCACGGGUGAGUAACGCGUAUGCAACUUGCCUAUCAGAGGGGGAUAACCCGGCGAAAGUCGGACUAAUACCGCAUGAAACAGGGAUCCCGCAUAGGAAUAUUUGUCUAAAGAAUUACUAUCGCUGAUAGAUAGGCAUGCGUUCCACUUAGG